Poecilia reticulata (guppy) is the source of this 2381-nucleotide non-coding RNA. NCBI's taxonomy places the organism in Eukaryota, Metazoa, Chordata, Actinopteri, Cyprinodontiformes, Poeciliidae. The record is from RefSeq and is a predicted model, not a curated record.
UACGCUGCUAGGACGGAGAACUUAGAAAACUAUGUGGAGGACACAGCUGGGAGUUUUGGAAGAAAAACGCUUGCGGCCAAGUUAAGGUUUUUUUUUUUUUUAAACCUUGAAGCUUGAAGAAAACACACAAAGCGGAACUGAAAACCUGCUACUACUCUGGACUGAGCUGUUGGGGCUACCAGAUGAGAAGCUGCUUUCCAGAGGGAUAAGUAAAACGGAGGUCCAGGGAGGAAGCCGGAGCACCCAGAGAGAACCCAUCAUGCAUAUGGAUAACAUGCAAACCCCAUGCAUAAAGAACCCAGGCCCGGAUUCAAACACAAGACUUUACUGCUGCAAGGCAACAGUGCUACCAACUAUGCAGCCCUGAUGUUUAAUUUCUGAUAUUUAAUUCAUGAACUUUAUUUUUAUUGACACCUAAGGAGAAUUUAGAGACCAGUUGACCUAACAGUCAUGAAUUCAGACUGCGGCCAGGAAGCUGGAGCACCAGAGAACAAAGGAGAUGAUUGUUGAUUUCAGGAGGAGAAGGAUCAAAUCAUACCCCAUUUCCAUCAUGGGAGAAGAAGUGGAGGUAGUUGAAGAAUAUAAACGCCUCGGUGUUCAUCUGGACAACAGACUGGACCGAGACGCAACAGUGAAGCAUCCAUACAAAGGGACAGAGCAGACUGGAGGAAGCUAAGAUCCUUCAAGGUAUGCAACAAGAUAAUGCAGCGACACUAUAAACUGUGUUGGUGCUGCACUGCUUCCCCCUCCUGAGACUCCGGAUGGUGUACCAGAAUCGCCUUGAAGCCGUGUGGAAGUCUUUUUCCAUGGCCUCUCCAAACUCCUCCCAUGCCUGAGUUUUUGCCUCAGCAACCACCUGAGCCGCAUGCCACUUCGACUGCCGGUACCCAUCAGCUGCUUCUGGAGUCCCACAGGCCAAAAGGAGCCCAAUAGGACUCCUUCUUCAGCCUGACAGCAUCCCUCACCGAAGGUGUCCACCAACAGGUUUGAGGGUUGCCGCCGCGACAGGCACAAACAACCUUGCGGUCACAGCUUCAAUAAGCCGCCUUUACAAAGGAGACAUGGAACAUAGCUCACUCAGAUUCAAUGUAUCUCACCUCCCCCGGAAGUGUUCAAAGUUCUGUCGGAGAUGGGAGUUAAAGCUCAGACUCACAGCAGACUCUGCCAGACAUUCCCAGCAGACCCUCACAACAUGUUUGGACUUGCCAGGUCUGACCGGCAUCCUCCCCCACCACCGGAGCCAACUCACUACCAGGUAGUGGUCAGUAGACAGCUCCUCACCUCUCUUCACCUGAGUGUCCAAGACAUAAGGCCACAGAUCCGACGAAAUGAUGACAAAGUCGCUCAUCGAACUGCGGUCUGGGGUGUCCUGGUGCCAAGUGCACAUAUGGACACCCUUAUGCCUAGACAUGGUGUUUGUUAUGGACAAUCUGUGAUGAGCACAGAAGUCCAGCAACAGAAGACCACUCGGGUUCAGAUUGGGGGGACCGUUUCUCCCAACCACGCCCCUCCAAGUCUCACUGUCAUUACCCAUGUCAGCAUUGAAGCCCCCCAGAAGAACAAGGGCGUCCCCAGGAGGGGAAAAAACAUGCUGACUAAGAUCUCCGUACUAAAAAUCAGGAGGAGUGUAACAGAUGUAACAUGCAUCUGUCACACUCAAGAUAACGAACAGCAAGACUUUCUAGUGUGAUGUUUGGUCUGCUGUUUAACCCUGUGAUCGUGAGCUCCUUUGGCGGCAAAUUCUGGUAUUAUCAGAUGUCGAACAUCGUAGGGAUUCAGCUCACAAGUUAAGGUCCGAUGGUCAGGACUCAUCUCUUCAAAGAAAACGUCAGAGGAAGUUUCCUCUGACGAAAGGUCGUCCAAAUCAUCCCCUAGGACAGAUCUCUCUUCAUGAGUCCGGCUUCUAGACUCAACGGUCUCCUUUUUACUACAAACUCCCCCAGCCGGGGAAGUUUGUUUUUUGAGAUUAGAGAAAUCAUUCCCUGGGGCAGAUCUCUUUCGACGGGUCCAGUGAUUUAAUGCUGCUAUCAUCAGAGCAGAGGUUACGGUUUCAGACUCAAGGUUCUCUUCGACAUUCCCUCGGGCAGAUCUCUUUUGGUGGCUCCAUUCUUCCAAUGCCGCUAUCAUCAGAGCAGAGGCCGAUGUUUCAGACUCCCCAGCCGGGGAAGGGUUGAAAAGGAAGUGUUGGGUGUAUAUGAGGCGCAGAAGAAGGGACUUGCCCUGGGGAUCGUUCAUACCAGAGCCUCCAGUGGGUGAACACGUCACAUAAGCAGUGCACAAUAUACCACACCUCUGAUGUGGAGCUGUUCCCCGAGUAAAGACGACUUAAGUUUGAUGCUUCCCAUGCCUGCAAUGACAAGAACAGUGACAGAACUGGAGCA